GGGGCAUAGCUCAGUUGGUAGAGCGCCUGCUUUGCAAGCAGGAUGUCAGGAGUUCGAGUCUCCUUGCCUCC
Molecule: transfer RNA, 71 nt
Filed under: marine eukaryotic metagenome
Rfam family: tRNA
About the family: Transfer RNA (tRNA) molecules are approximately 80 nucleotides in length.
Source: RNAcentral